Magnolia sinica is the source of this 406-nucleotide long non-coding RNA. RefSeq lists it as uncharacterized. The transcript has 3 exons. Lineage: Eukaryota; Viridiplantae; Streptophyta; Magnoliopsida; Magnoliales; Magnoliaceae. The record is from RefSeq and is a predicted model, not a curated record.
AAGUGUGGUUUUAUUACUUCUUUAACUCUGUGUGAAAGCAACUGAUUUUAUCUCUUUUCAUGAAUUCAAACAAUGGAAACUGUUUUUUUUUCCCUUCAAUCUAUGAACUAUGCUAUUUUGCAUUCAUAAUGUUUCUGAUUUUGAAAUUCAGGAUUUGCUACAGAUUCAUCAGGGAAUGUGAUAUCUGGAGACAGUGGUCUUCAUAAUCAACGGCAGUGUAGUAUACUGUGAUAGGACAAUAUGCAAAACAAGCAGUUUACUGGGAAACCUCCUUGGAGCGAGUUUGAGGGGAUAUGUAUGCUGAAUGCAAGGCUGGCAAGAACAGAAAACAUGACUCAUGAUGUGAUUAGAGAUUUGCUUAGAGUCAAGUUGGACAUGACUAACUAUCUUGCAAGUUAAACCAACA